Molecule: ribosomal RNA, 440 nt
Filed under: uncultured bacterium
Lineage: Bacteria
Description: partial 16S ribosomal RNA
Rfam family: Bacterial small subunit ribosomal RNA
Source: RNAcentral
CCUACGGGUGGCAGCAGUAGGGAAUAUUGCUCAAUGGGGGAAACCCUGAAGCAGCAACGCCGCGUGAGGGAUGAAGGUUUUCGGAUUGUAAACUCCUUUUGUUAGAGAAGAUAAUGACGGUAUCUGACGAAUAAGCACCGGCUAACUCCGUGCCAGCAGCCGCGGUAAUACGGAGGGUGCAAGCGUUACUCGGAAUCACUGGGCGUAAAGAGCGCGUAGGCGGGAUAGCAAGUCAGAUGUGAAAUCCUAUGGCUUAACCAUAGAACUGCAUUUGAAACUGUUAUUCUAGAGUAUGGGAGAGGUAGGUGGAAUUCCUGGUGUAGGGGUAAAAUACGUAGAGAUUAAGAGGAAUACCCAUUGCGAAGGCGGCCUGCUAGAACAUAACUGACGCUGAUGCGCGAAAGCGUGGGGAGCAAACAGGAUUAGAUACCCCGGUAGUC